CCCUAUGGGUGCUGAUCCACAGGUACCCAUCCCGGGUCUGAGCAAUACCGGUGACCUUGUCUUGUGGCAGUCCCCGCUCGCUCUGCCAGCCCUCGAUCAGAUAACCUUUUCGGCCCACGGUCUGCGCGCUCACCGGUCCCGCCGACCAUACCAGGAAGAUUGUCAAGAGCCCAGCCCAAAACCCGGCCUUCUGUCGGCGAGGAUCGCGUGAGAGGAAUCUCGCUCUAUCUGCCCAGCGACGCCGGAGCGACCUGUUUCUUAGGCCGCCCGACAAGGCCCGACCCGAAUUCAAUUGGCAGCACUGCCUGGCCAUGCUGCAAUGCUCUCUCCGCCCACAACUUGAGUCAACACUGGACGGAUAUCUGCCGACCCGUUCCGGGGCGUCUGUUUGACAUUGCACGAGGCGGGGGGGC
Molecule: ribosomal RNA, 413 nt
Filed under: uncultured prokaryote
Description: partial 16S ribosomal RNA
Source: RNAcentral